This is a microRNA precursor of Nicotiana attenuata, 97 nucleotides long. It matches the Rfam family "MIR6152 microRNA precursor family". Lineage: Eukaryota; Viridiplantae; Streptophyta; Magnoliopsida; Solanales; Solanaceae. The record is from Rfam.
UGGACAGAUUAUUGUAUUCGACUGUAUUCAAGGCGUGAAAUAGGGGAUUACACUGUUUUUAAAACGGAAAGUGAAUCAAUUAACAUAAUAGACUCCU